Molecule: ribosomal RNA, 253 nt
Filed under: uncultured bacterium
Lineage: Bacteria
Description: partial 16S ribosomal RNA
Rfam family: Bacterial small subunit ribosomal RNA
Source: RNAcentral
UACGGGGGGGGCAAGCGUUGUUCGGAAUUACUGGGCGUAAAGCGCACGUAGGCGGAUUCGUAAGUCAGGGGUGAAAUCCCGGGGCUCAACCUCGGAACUGCCUUUGAUACUGCGGGUCUUGAGUCCGAUAGAGGUGGGUGGAAUUCCUAGUGUAGAGGUGAAAUUCGUAGAUAUUAGGAAGAACACCGGUGGCGAAGGCGGCCCACUGGAUCGGUACUGACGCUGAGGUGCGAAAGCGUGGGGAGCAAACAGG